UACGUAGGGUGCAAGCGUUAAUCGAAAUUACUGGGCGUAAAGCGUGCGCAGGCGGUGAUGUAAGACAGGUGUGAAAUCCCCGGGCUUAACCUGGGAACUGCAUUUGUGACUGCAUCGCUGGAGUGCGGCAGAGGGGGAUGGAAUUCCGCGUGUAGCAGUGAAAUGCGUAGAUAUGCGGAGGAACACCGAUGGCGAAGGCAAUCCCCUGGGCCUGCACUGACGCUCAUGCACGAAAGCGUGGGGAGCAAACAGG
This 253-nucleotide ribosomal RNA is filed under the name uncultured bacterium. Its description in RNAcentral is "partial 16S ribosomal RNA". It matches the Rfam family "Bacterial small subunit ribosomal RNA", at positions 524 to 776 of the family's 1533-position model. The record is from RNAcentral.